GGUACACAUUAGUGUUUGAAGUAGUAGAGAAGAGAAGUAUAUUUAUUAAGAAUAUUGAGUAAUAAGGUAGCUUUUUAGAAUAAAUCCUACUUCAAAAAUACGCUUAUGCAAAUUGCAGUUUCCUAAAGAAAAUUAGUCUUUCUUCUAAGUGCAUUCGUUUAUAUUUACUUCAUAUUAGGUUAAAACAGUAACUUAAAGAAUUUUAAAAUAAUCUUAAAUAAUAAUCUAUUUUACCCUUAUUUUCCAAGUUGCAAAUGUAUCAUGUAUUCAGGAACUUAGUUGGAGUAAAUGUUUAAUGGUUAUGUUUUCAUUUUGGAUAGUAUGCACUGGAACGGCUGAAGGUCAUGUGCGAAGAAGCUUUGUGUAGUAACCUCUCAGUAGAGAAUGUUGCAGAUACCCUUGUCCUUGCAGAUUUGCACAGUGCAGAACAGUUGAAAGCACAAGCCAUAGACUUUAUUAAUAGGUGCAGUGUACUUCGACAACUUGGGUGUAAAGAUGGGAAAAACUGGAACAGCAAGUAAGAUGACAUCAGUUUCUGACUCA
Molecule: small RNA, 543 nt
Filed under: Pan troglodytes (chimpanzee)
Lineage: Eukaryota; Metazoa; Chordata; Mammalia; Primates; Hominidae
Description: retained intron
Source: RNAcentral